Long non-coding RNA from Patella vulgata (common limpet), 498 nucleotides. RefSeq lists it as uncharacterized. The record is from RefSeq and is a predicted model, not a curated record. The transcript is spliced from 6 exons. Lineage: Eukaryota; Metazoa; Mollusca; Gastropoda; Patellidae.
GUUGAAGAUUCAUCAAGAUGUUUACUUUGUGGUUGAUUACAGUUGCUAUUGUGCUUGCUUCCAUGUUGCCAAGCUGUACUGCAUAUACAGUGAAAAGUUGUAACCUAACGGAGUGUAUAAAGAAGGGCAAAAGCCGUUGUUUCCUAUUCACAUGUAAAACCGAUGGGACGAGAUCAUUAAAUAAAAAUUGUGGAGGUACACUAUGUGACAGAAAAACAGAAGUGUGUAUUGGUGGUACCUGUAUAAACAGACAUAAAAAUUGUACGGUUACGAAUGAAAAAGGCCAACUCGUCUUGUGUCGUGAUCAGGGUGAAGUAUGUGGGGAAUCAUUCUGUAUUUUUAAUUUGGGUAGUAAAUGUGUAAAUAACACGUCAUGUCGGGAUAAACGUGGCUGCGUUGGGGAGGCUGAUGGUACCACUUGUGGCUAUGAUUCUACUGGUCAUUGUUCAGGUGGUGUUUGUCUAUGUAAAUAUGAUUAUAUUAUAUAUACAACUGGCG